Thalassophryne amazonica is the source of this 139-nucleotide long non-coding RNA. RefSeq lists it as uncharacterized. The record is from RefSeq and is a predicted model, not a curated record. Lineage: Eukaryota; Metazoa; Chordata; Actinopteri; Batrachoidiformes; Batrachoididae. The transcript has 3 exons.
AUUAACAUUAUAAACAUUCAGUUUUGGUGCCGUUCAUCCUUUGAGCCAAAAUACAUAAACAUACCAGACGGCAAAUGCCAGCUCUCCCCAGAUUUUGUGUGAUCAAAAUUACAUGCGCGCACGCAGACCUUUUGUCUUU